Molecule: long non-coding RNA, 4317 nt
Organism: Melospiza melodia melodia
Lineage: Eukaryota; Metazoa; Chordata; Aves; Passeriformes; Passerellidae
Exons: 5
Source: RefSeq, a predicted model, not a curated record
CAGGACAGAAAUUGUUUCUUGAUAGUGAAGUAAAUCUGAAAGUCUUUGCUGUGUAAGAAGUAAUUUUCAAGGUGAUCUUCCUUAUAAAGAUGAGGUCUAAAAUUGUUUUUUAUUGUAAGUACUGCCAGUACUUCUCAAAGAGUCAUUCUCAAAUGGGAUGGAGAUGGUAAUAACAUUGUCUGUCACAACAAUCACUGUUCUUUGCUGUUUAUGUGCAAUGGGUCUGGAAAGAGUAUUUUUUAAUUUUGAAGUAAGAUUUUCUGUUUUGAGAGAUACCAAUCACAAUGGGAUUUAAAACCACAUGGUAAUGUGAACUCUUAGAGUCUCAAAAGCUCCGUACAGAGGAAAUUGAACAUGGUUUGACUGUUACCUUCUCUAAUUGAAAUUGCAUCUGGUCUGCUGAACAUAGUGCUUAAUGAAAGGAACCAAAUCAAAUCUUCGGAAGUUCUCUGGGGACUUGUUCAGCUUUCUGGCACGCUGGUGCAUUGUGAUUAGGUUAUCUUGGAAGGACAGAAUCUCCCAUGCUUCUUGGACAAGCUACUUCAUCACAAUUACAAACACUUUCAUGGAAGUUUGAGUUCUGUGUUAGCGUUUCUAAGUACUUGUUCAUCAUAAUUAGCUACUUUUAUGGAAUUGUAUCCAUUAAAAACCCAGCAGCUAAGAAUAUGAGUGGAAACUUAGAUAUGCCUUGAUGGAAGGGAGGCUGUUAGAAAUUAGAGCAGUGACAGCUUCAGUCACUCCCUCACACUGGUGCAGGCUCAUGGGGUGAUUUACAUACCUCUCUUAGGCAGCAAUGGCUGCAAAUAAGAUUAUAUUUAUAACAUUUGAAUCUGGGAAUUGCAGGGUAAAAUCAGUGGAGUGUAAAAGCAUUAGAGACAUUUGUUUUCAAUGAUUGACACAAUAAUCCUGUUAGCAGUGUCUAGGGCAGGCUCAUUCCAAGGUGGUCUAUGUGUUACUACAUUGCCCUGUGCCACAGACAAGUUCCUGCUCAGGUUGGUGUUAACAGUCCUUUCUACACAGAGAAUUAAAAAAAAAUACUGGAACUAUUUAAGCUAAUAUCCAGCACCUCAUAUUCCACGUCUUGUCAGAUUAGGCUUCUUGUGAAGAAAAAAAUUAUGAAAACUACUAAAAUUGGCAUGGUUUAUACAUGGUUUCAUCUGUAUAGGAAAGACAAUCUUAGUUAAAGGAAUGCAGGCCACAGGGACUGACCUGCUCAUAAACUCUUGUGUGUUUGAGUUUCUAAAGCACAGCUUGUACCUUAUGCCAGAGCAUAUAAAUGAAGACAAAUUAGGGUGUGCAUUUUUCUUUGCACUCUCUCCUAACUUAGUGUAUUUGGCACUUUCAGGUAAGUCUAGGGCCUUACCACUGUAGGUGGUGUAUCAAAAAAUUGGUGGAGAUGGUGGAGAGAAGGGUCCUGGGCUUCAAAACAUUGUGGUUUUGAAUCCAUGAAAUAAUAGUAUUUGUAUUUAAGACUGCGUAACUGCACAAAGAUACAAAGUAUAUUUCACCCCUGCCAGUAGAGGAUGCUUACAUGAGAAGAAAGUUUGCUGAUCUUGAGAAACUCCUUUCUGAAGGCAGGAGAGAUCACUUCUUGUGUCAGGGUUCCACAAUUUAUGAGGAUGACCUUCCUGCCACUCUGCCUCCAAACCUGCUUUCUGAGACAAAGAUGUGCUUUACUUCACUGAGGUAAUAUCAUUCUCCAGAGUUAUUCUAGUUUUCACCUAAAGGCCACUUGAGUGUCUAUUUGGGUUCUUAAAAAAAAAAAAAAAAAAAAAAAAAGAAGCCUAAUUCUUUUUUGCAGCUCAGAGUAGCAGGUGAGGUGAGAUGUGGUGAAUGUUUCCUGCAGCAGGAGGAUGAAGUUCAGCGUGGAGCCCCAGAGGCAGCGCAGGUGAGGUGUCCACGGCCCCUCGUGGUGACUCUGCCACCGGUGGGGGCUGCGGUUGUGCUGUGGAGACUUUGCCUCAAUUGGUUGGAGAAAUUACCAAAAACCUGAUUUUCAUCCAAGAGAAGUCUAUAGAGCAUUUCUCAGAGUGGAAGCAAAUGGAGGUCAGGAUUUGCAGGUUUGUAGCCCAUGGCUGUUUCUCUAUUUAGCUUGGUCACCUUUUCCACUGGAUAUUGCCAUUUGCAGUGUCUGUGGUACCUUCUCUCCCUGCUCCCAGCAGCCUCUUUGGGUCUUGCCAAAGCACACCCAUAAUACUGGAGGAGAGUUUGACUCCAUUCAUGCUUCAGCUGGCCAAUCCACACUUCACAACUUCACAUAAAUUGUAGUUUGUGUUAACUGUGCCAGCAAAUCUUGGGCCAAAAUUCUGGUUUUUGGUCUCUAGCAGGUUAUAAAUUAAAGUUCUGUAUUGCAAACAAAGUAAAUGUCUGCAGCUUGACAAGAGGUUAGGCAGGGCUUAAAAUCUGGUUUGUUUCUCUGGAGGCACAGUAAUCCUUCAGGAACUUUGCAGACUUAAACUGUGUUGCUUCUGAGUAUCCCUUUGGGAAAAUGCCAAAUGCCUUUUUUUAAUGUUAGGAAUUUUUUGUCUGAUUCAUAGGGUGCUGAUGCUGUGUGUGAUCCUGUGGUGGAGAGGUGCUUGGUGUCCUCAGUCCUGCUGCAGGCAGGGCUGUCUUUGCUAACUCUAGUGUGUUUCCCAACACAGUAACAGGUGAGAGUAAGGCAGACACACAAGUAGGUGCAGUAAUCUCAGUGUAGAUUACAUGAGCAAAAUAUAGAUUAUUAUUUUUUACAUCUGAAGAACAAAUAUGAGUUAUUCCUGGUGUAGGGUUUUAUUGCUUUGAAGAUGCUACAGCCAAUGCUUUUGAAAACCCUUUUUGAAAAACUGUUCAGUAGGAGUUACAGGUCUGCUUAAAUAUUCCUCCAAGAAGCUUUCUUUUUGUCCUCCAGUGCUCAUCUCUGACUACAUAAAAUCUGUUUGUAUUUUAUUCUGUUAACCUCCAACCAAGUCAAGGCAAAGCCAGUUGUUUCUGCCCUGACAGGAAAAACUGCCACUCUUCCAGAAGCUGUGUGACGGGCUGAGUAGAGAUUUCAGGCACCAAGUUGCAUAGAGAGAAAGUGAAAUACCUUCUGUCAAAAACCAGUGUGUUUACUCAGUUAAUGACUCAGAAAACAUCCUUCUUGUGUGCCUUGAUGAGGGUGUUUGGGAAAAUAAGACUAUAUUUACGUAAUUUUUUUGGAUUUAAUUUAUUUUAUUAGAGCUAUCUCUGAUUUCCUUUUCAAGGUGGGCCAUCUAUUAAUUCUUCUGGGACUGAUGUGUUUGCAGUAGAACAGUAUUGAACCACAAUUUUUGUUUUUUCAGGUAUAGUUAAAAGGCAUUUUCUCAAAACAAUUUGAAAACAAAUGGGAAGUAAGAUUGACUAUUUUGCUGUUUAUCCAGUUGCAUGCAACAUAAAUAUCAGAAUAAAUUAGCCUAAUUGAGUCAGUUUGUCCUUAUGUUUCUGGACAAUGAAGCUUUUCCCUUCUCUUCCUGAAGCAUUUACUGGAAGUGUGAAGAAAAUUCUAAUUUUCCAGUUAGAAAGAGGGAGGAUUUGCCAGCAAACUGUGACCAUUUAGAAACACUCCACAGAUGUUGAUAUGCAGCUGCUGUUUGUGGACAACUCCCUUUGCCUUCUCAAUCUGAAAGUGGUCUGGAGAAGCCUUUUCACUGCUUGACUGGACCUCUUGCUCUCUUCCCUCACUGGACUGCCAACUGAUUUGCCCAAGGCUGAUCUGCCCAAGAUUCAGGUGCAGAGCCACAGUAUGUGGAAGAACAGGCGUAAUCUGAGGCCCCAAGAGCUGAGAAGAAAGGUGAAUAUAAUGAGUACUUAAUGAAGAAGUAGAUUGUUAGGAGAGUUGUGUUACACCACGUUUGUAGAUGCAAUCCCAAGUGAAAUUCUGAUGAUACUCAGAGGUCUGCUCUUUUAAAGCACUUCUGCCUGUGGACACAUUGAGCAGAGGCACUGCUGGUGUCAGAAGAUCUUCAACCUUAUAAGUCUUCUCAGCCUCAACUCGGAAAUCAACUUGCAUUUUUGGCCUUACCAGUGUGACAGAGUCUGGCUGCCAAAAGUCAACCUGAAAGAAGAGCAAAUGAAGACAUAAACAAAUAAAUACAUACAUGUGGUUGUGAUUUUUUAGAUUGGUAUAUGUGUGCUGGUGAGGUUAUGAUUAAUAUACUGAAUUUCAUGCCUAUCCCAUUACACUGAUUCAGCAUUGCUUCCCACAAGUAGCAACCUAAAUUUUAACUGGAAAUUGAUUAAGAUUUUCUAAAGGCCUUGCAUUUUAUAUGGCAGAAUUCUGGAAAUGACAGCAACAAUUCCAUAAAUUGUCUACAGCCUCUG